Molecule: non-coding RNA, 143 nt
Organism: Ciborinia camelliae
Lineage: Eukaryota; Fungi; Ascomycota; Leotiomycetes; Helotiales; Sclerotiniaceae
Source: the annotation of a GenBank genome assembly
GGAUUUGUGGUGUAGCGGUUAUGUUAGUACAUCCUUAUUCCCUACUUAUUAUCUCUGUAUAUAUACUAACAUUCUAUUAACAGCACGUUUCCUUUACAAUCGUAAAACGGAAAAGGCCCCCGGUUCGAUCCCGGGCAGAUUCA